GCUGAACCCAGGGUGAGCAGCCUGCACGUGAAACAAGACCCCAUAGCGAAUGCAAUGAGAGGGACAGGAAAGACCACGACGAUGUUCGUCACCGCUUUCUUCACGGCUCUGAUACUUUCCUGCUUCGCUUCGUCUUACGACGAAUGUCGAGAGCACCAGCUCGUGUCAGACGCUGCAAUCAACGAUGCCAUCUCUGCAACUCUAUGGAACGCGCGCUUCUGGGACGAAUCUGUGUUCCCACAUUGGUGGUGGGGCAUUUUCGCCGUUAAUUUUACAUCGGUGUAUUUAAACACAAGGAACAUUUUCGAUCCUUUUGCGCGAUACUGUAAAGGAGGAGACGCCAUGGUUGAUACAGAACUUGAGUUCGACUGCCAUAUCAGUGCAAGGUGCGCUGUUGUAGAUAACGACUAUUUCCUUGGAACUGUUGAUGUGUAUUUCCACGAAGCCGUAGCCAAGGUACAGUUCCAGUUGAAGUUGUACUCGGAAAAUGAAACUUUCACGCUGUAUCCAGCAGGUGUGCGUCUGACGUGGCCGGGGACUGUCUCAGCAAGCGUCGAGCGCACUGGGCCGCGAUAUUACGAGGAAGCGCUGAAUAUUUUAUUGAACCCGCUGGUUAGAGUCUACGCAAAUGACAUACUCAGGUGGAUUUCGACACGUUCUUUUAUCGCAAACCUUUUUGUGUGGAGAUCAAAUGAAGUGGGUCCCUUUUACGUA
Molecule: long non-coding RNA, 714 nt
Organism: Dermacentor silvarum
Lineage: Eukaryota; Metazoa; Arthropoda; Arachnida; Ixodida; Ixodidae
Exons: 3
Source: RefSeq, a predicted model, not a curated record